Molecule: ribosomal RNA, 2930 nt
Filed under: Escherichia coli
Lineage: Bacteria; Pseudomonadati; Pseudomonadota; Gammaproteobacteria; Enterobacterales; Enterobacteriaceae
Description: 23S ribosomal RNA
Rfam family: Bacterial large subunit ribosomal RNA
Source: RNAcentral
GGGUUGUGAGGUUAAGCGACUAAGCGUACACGGUGGAUGCCCUGGCAGUCAGAGGCGAUGAAGGACGUGCUAAUCUGCGAUAAGCGUCGGUGAGGUGAUAUGAACCGUUAUAACCGGCGAUUUCCGAAUGGGGAAACCCAGUGUGAUUCGUCACACUAUCAUUAACUGAAUCCAUAGGUUAAUGAGGCGAACCGGGGGAACUGAAACAUCUAAGUACCCCGAGGAAAAGAAAUCAACCGAGAUUCCCCCAGUAGCGGCGAGCGAACGGGGAGCAGCCCAGAGCCUGAAUCAGUGUGUGUGUUAGUGGAAGCGUCUGGAAAGGCGCGCGAUACAGGGUGACAGCCCCGUACACAAAAAUGCACAUAUUGUGAGCUCGAUGAGUAGGGCGGGACACGUGGUAUCCUGUCUGAAUAUGGGGGGACCAUCCUCCAAGGCUAAAUACUCCUGACUGACCGAUAGUGAACCAGUACCGUGAGGGAAAGGCGAAAAGAACCCCGGCGAGGGGAGUGAAAAAGAACCUGAAACCGUGUACGUACAAGCAGUGGGAGCACGCUUCGGCGUGUGACUGCGUACCUUUUGUAUAAUGGGUCAGCGACUUAUAUUCUGUAGCAAGGUUAACCGAAUAGGGGAGCCGAAGGGAAACCGAGUCUUAACUGGGCGUUAAGUUGCAGGGUAUAGACCCGAAACCCGGUGAUCUAGCCAUGGGCAGGUUGAAGGUUGGGUAACACUAACUGGAGGACCGAACCGACUAAUGUUGAAAAAUUAGCGGAUGACUUGUGGCUGGGGGUGAAAGGCCAAUCAAACCGGGAGAUAGCUGGUUCUCCCCGAAAGCUAUUUAGGUAGCGCCUCGUGAAUUCAUCUCCGGGGGUAGAGCACUGUUUCGGCAAGGGGGUCAUCCCGACUUACCAACCCGAUGCAAACUGCGAAUACCGGAGAAUGUUAUCACGGGAGACACACGGCGGGUGCUAACGUCCGUCGUGAAGAGGGAAACAACCCAGACCGCCAGCUAAGGUCCCAAAGUCAUGGUUAAGUGGGAAACGAUGUGGGAAGGCCCAGACAGCCAGGAUGUUGGCUUAGAAGCAGCCAUCAUUUAAAGAAAGCGUAAUAGCUCACUGGUCGAGUCGGCCUGCGCGGAAGAUGUAACGGGGCUAAACCAUGCACCGAAGCUGCGGCAGCGACACUAUGUGUUGUUGGGUAGGGGAGCGUUCUGUAAGCCUGCGAAGGUGUACUGUGAGGUAUGCUGGAGGUAUCAGAAGUGCGAAUGCUGACAUAAGUAACGAUAAAGCGGGUGAAAAGCCCGCUCGCCGGAAGACCAAGGGUUCCUGUCCAACGUUAAUCGGGGCAGGGUGAGUCGACCCCUAAGGCGAGGCCGAAAGGCGUAGUCGAUGGGAAACAGGUUAAUAUUCCUGUACUUGGUGUUACUGCGAAGGGGGGACGGAGAAGGCUAUGUUGGCCGGGCGACGGUUGUCCCGGUUUAAGCGUGUAGGCUGAUUUUCCAGGCAAAUCCGGAGAAUCAAGGCUGAGGCGUGAUGACGAGGCACUACGGUGCUGAAGCAACAAAUGCCCUGCUUCCAGGAAAAGCCUCUAAGCAUCAGGUAACAUCAAAUCGUACCCCAAACCGACACAGGUGGUCAGGUAGAGAAUACCAAGGCGCUUGAGAGAACUCGGGUGAAGGAACUAGGCAAAAUGGUGCCGUAACUUCGGGAGAAGGCACGCUGAUACGUAGGUGAAGUCCCUCGCGGAUGGAGCUGAAAUCAGUCGAAGAUACCAGCUGGCUGCAACUGUUUAUUAAAAACACAGCACUGUGCAAACACGAAAGUGGACGUAUACGGUGUGACGCCUGCCCGGUGCCGGAAGGUUAAUUGAUGGGGUCAGCGCAAGCGAAGCUCUUGAUCGAAGCCCCGGUAAACGGCGGCCGUAACUAUAACGGUCCUAAGGUAGCGAAAUUCCUUGUCGGGUAAGUUCCGACCUGCACGAAUGGCGUAAUGAUGGCCAGGCUGUCUCCACCCGAGACUCAGUGAAAUUGAACUCGCUGUGAAGAUGCAGUGUACCCGCGGCAAGACGGAAAGACCCCGUGAACCUUUACUAUAGCUUGACACUGAACAUUGAGCCUUGAUGUGUAGGAUAGGUGGGAGGCUUUGAAGUGUGGACGCCAGUCUGCAUGGAGCCGGCCUUGAAAUACCACCCUUUAAUGUUUGAUGUUCUAACGUAGACCCGUGAUCCGGGUUGCGGACAGUGUCUGGUGGGUAGUUUGACUGGGGCGGUCUCCUCCUAAAGAGUAACGGAGGAGCACGAAGGUUGGCUAAUCCUGGUCGGACAUCAGGAGGUUAGUGCAAUGGCAUAAGCCAGCUUGACUGCGAGCGUGACGGCGCGAGCAGGUGCGAAAGCAGGUCAUAGUGAUCCGGUGGUUCUGAAUGGAAGGGCCAUCGCUCAACGGAUAAAAGGUACUCCGGGGAUAACAGGCUGAUACCGCCCAAGAGUUCAUAUCGACGGCGGUGUUUGGCACCUCGAUGUCGGCUCAUCACAUCCUGGGGCUGAAGUAGGUCCCAAGGGUAUGGCUGUUCGCCAUUUAAAGUGGUACGCGAGCUGGGUUUAGAACGUCGUGAGACAGUUCGGUCCCUAUCUGCCGUGGGCGCUGGAGAACUGAGGGGGGCUGCUCCUAGUACGAGAGGACCGGAGUGGACGCAUCACUGGUGUUCGGGUUGUCAUGCCAAUGGCACUGCCCGGUAGCUAAAUGCGGAAGAGAUAAGUGCUGAAAGCAUCUAAGCACGAAACUUGCCCCGAGAUGAGUUCUCCCUGACCCUUUAAGGGUCCUGAAGGAACGUUGAAGACGACGACGUUGAUAGGCCGGGUGUGUAAGCGCAGCGAUGCGUUGAGCUAACCGGUACUAAUGAACCGUGAGGCUUAACCUUACAACGCCGAAGGUGUUU